GACGAACGCUGGCGGCGUGCUUAACACAUGCAAGUCGAGCGGUAAGGCCCUUUCGGGGGUACGACGAGCGGCGAACGGGUGAGUAACACGUGGGUGACCUGCCCUCAGCUCUGGGAGUAAGCCUGGGAAACCGGGUCUAAUACUGGAUAUGACUCCAUGACGCAUGUUGUGGGGUGGAAAGCCUUGUGCGGCUGAGGAUGGGCCCGCGGCCUAUCAGCUUGUUGGUGGGGUGANGGCCUACCAAGGCGACGACGGGUAGCCGGCCUGAGAGGGCGACCGGCCACACUGGGACUGAGACACGGCCCAGACUCCUACGGGAGGCAGCAGUGGGGAAUCUUGCGCAAUGGGCGAAAGCCUGACGCAGCGACGCCGCGUGAGGGA
RNAcentral lists this ribosomal RNA (381 nucleotides) under uncultured bacterium. RNAcentral's name for it is "bacterial SSU rRNA". It matches the Rfam family "Bacterial small subunit ribosomal RNA", at positions 28 to 408 of the family's 1533-position model. The record is from RNAcentral.